AUCCCCUAAUAAUCACAAUGGAUUUCCUUACACUAAAAUGUUGGGCUCUAAGCACUGCUACGUCAAAUAACAACGAGGGUUUCACCUGCAUCCAGCCCAUGCUUGGUUCAGAGGGACACAGACCUUUUAUUAGAAAAUGCAAUAUGGCAACAUUAUCAGGGGAGUCACAUGAGUUCAUUUCAAAAUCAUCUUAAGGCCACUGUACAAGGUAGGAAAUAAGCUCGAACAUGAAAAAGGAGUAAAAUAAUCAUUAAAGCUGUAAUGAUUUAUAUCAUAACAUUAUGAAGUAGCACACUUUACUCAGUACAGUUCCUCAAUGAAUGUUUUCCUAAUUUCCAUAAGUAAUUGACCUCUCAUUAACAGCUCAUUAGAAAAAUUGAGGUGAUGUGACAAAUGCAAACCCACUGCAACAGAGACUGCCUGUGAAUAAAUUAUUGAAAAUGGAUGGUUUCAGAAUGAAGGACCACAGGAAACUUGCUUUUUCUGGCUGCAGAAGACUUCAUUUACAUCUGUAAAGUAAAACACAUCUGUGUGAAUAUGCACACUCAACAGCUUUGUAUCCAUGUGGCUCAUGGCUGAUUUUCUAACGCAGUAACCCUUCUUAUAUUCUUCAUAUUGCAAGUAACUGCAUAGGAAAAGAAAUUAGGCAGAUAGUUCAUAUAUACAUAUGUGUUUGUAAGUCGUUGGUUCAACUACAGAGACCAAAGCUGAAAAAAUGAGGUACAAAUUUGGAACGUGGGCUAAGCAAGUGACUUAGUUUGUAAGGAACUAAAUAUUGACUGGCACUGCUCAUUGGCUCCAGCUGAGAUGUGGGACCUACCAGAACAGGACUACAGCUGAAUUCCUGCCCAUGAGCAGCUGUUUCAGAAGGGAGCUGGCUACCUUGUCCUUCCCAUAGCUGCUGUUAACCAGCACGUGAAUGUUAACAAGCUCAAUAACAGGUUUUGCCCGUACAGAAGUGUUAACUUUAAUAACCUUCUAUAUGUGUCUUCUUAGGGAUCAAUACAUUGAUUUCAAGCUAGUUCUUCAUCACUGUAAUAUGGAGAAGAGUGACGCUGAUGUUUAACAUAAAACUUUAAUAGUCCUGGAUUCUUCUGGAGAAACCCAGAAAAAAAGCAUUUCUUUUUCAGUGUGGCCCUUAAAGUCCCAAUGCGUAUCUGAAAUGUAUUUGGCAGUAAUUUGAUUUAUAGGCUCCACAUGUGUGGCAAAGCUACAUAAAGAUGGGAAAGGCAAAGAAAUCCCAGUCUGAAAGUCUGGUACAGCAGAGAUGAGAUGAACUGAUGUACUGUCCUGACCUUUUGCAGUACCAACGAGAAGACUGUGGGGUCUCUGAGGAGGAUAAAGGCAAUGGAGAGCUAAUGUAAAACAAUGGAAAAAGCUGGCUUAGGGCUGCCCUGGCAAAAAGACCAGCAGGAAUCUCACUUUUCCUCAUAUGGGCAAUGUGUCUGCUAUCUGGUUACCCUUCUCACAAUUUCCUCCCUACCCAUCUGAAUUCUCCUGCAAUGGGCCAUUGCAUAGCACCAUCGUAGUGCAGGUGACAAUCUGUUUUGCUUUGCCAGCCAAACUGCAGAAGAAAAGAAGCACUGAAGCGGUCGUGAGGAAUUUCCUAUUAUGGAAGAAAAAUGUGUUUUUAAAAGCCUCACUCGGAAGAAUCCAGCUGCUUUGCUUACCAUGACAUUUGAAAACAAAAGGUUGAAGAGAAAAGAGAUGCUGGGUAAACAGUGAAGACUGAUAGAUUGCAUCAUGCCAUGGGGCUGUACCAAGAGACUAGUUUUGUGUUACUGCUCCCUGUCUCUUUAUUCUGUGGAUUCUCUAACUCCUACUGGUUGAUCUCAGCCCAAAUGUAGAGUAAAAUCUCCUCUCUAAUGGGUUUUAGCACCUCUUCCCAGACCCAUGUGUGAACCGAGUUGUGAGGCUGGAUAGGAAACAACGUAUGAAAACAGGAAGCUGAGGAUAUGUUACCCAAACAUCUGUCUUGCAUUCAACACCUCCUCUAGGAUUUUUGGGACUGCCAUAGAAACAAAGCUUUUGGGGUCUCGGAUAACCAUUACAGCGGUGUAAACCAUUGUAAUGAUGUUUAUUAUCACAUCUCUCUGCACGGCGCUGUGUGCUCCUCAUCAGAGCCCACCCUUCCCACAGCUACACGCUCCUACGCUGCACUACAAGGAUGACUCACAGGCAGAAUUUCUUUAGCAUUUAGAAAUACAUUUGGAUUUCAGCCAGCUGUGGAAAAUAUGCGUACUUCCUCUUAUGCCCAUACAGUACUCAGUAUAUUGCUUUACAUAUGGGAUCUGAAUCAGUAAUACUAAAAGCCUGAAGUUGAAGGAAGAGCAAAAUGUGCUUAUAAGCAUGCUCCUUGAUAAGGGGAUUCUUUAUAUUUUUACCAUUUGUUCAAUCAUUUUGUGCGAAUGAAAUAGCUGAUACAUUGCAGGAUAGAAAUAACACCCCUCAAAAGAGAAAAUACUUUGUGGAAAUCACACCCUGGCAAACAGACAAUGUUCCUUAUAGGGGCUGACUUUAAAGAAGAAGUUGUAAUACCACGCAGAAUGAGAAAAUGAGAAUAUUGUAAUUACAACUGCAAACAUGAUUUCCAAACGUGCAAUAUCAUGUCAGGCUAGCAAAUCUGCAGAUAUUCAGGAACUCACCAAAACUGCCUUGGAAAGGCAUGAUAAAUAGCACCAAGAAAACAGCUAUUUUUUUAACCGUUGUUGCAGCAUGACUUUAGUUGUUGUAUGCAAAAUGGUUUAAUGUCACCUUAAUUCCAGCUUGCCUUGUGAAAAAUGACCCUGUCAAUUUGAUGCAGAGGUGGAACAUUGAAAAGUGCAAUAUUUCUUCUAAUAGGCAAGAGCUGACAAAGAUAGACUGAACGAUGUGGAACUGUACGGAACUGACCCGAAUGUGAAUUCCAAAUGAAAUUAAAUAUAUUGCUCUUAGAUUUCA
Long non-coding RNA from Gallus gallus (chicken), 2940 nucleotides. RefSeq lists it as uncharacterized. Lineage: Eukaryota; Metazoa; Chordata; Aves; Galliformes; Phasianidae. The transcript is spliced from 2 exons. The record is from RefSeq and is a predicted model, not a curated record.